RNAcentral lists this ribosomal RNA (483 nucleotides) under Russula sp. 1224. Its description in RNAcentral is "eukaryotic LSU rRNA". Lineage: Eukaryota; Fungi; Basidiomycota; Agaricomycetes; Russulales; Russulaceae. The record is from RNAcentral.
CAAAUGCAAUUACAACUGUGAAUUGCUUAACUCUCGGAUCCAUCAAAUCUGCAAACCCCUGCGAUACCCCAUGGGAUCUGGAGAGUUCAGACUGUCCUAGCGUCUUUUCACCUCUCUUGCCUGGCUUGGCGUUGGGAGAGGUCCACUUUGGGGAGGCUCCUGAAAUCCUGAACACCCUUCCUUUCGGCUUUUUCGACCAUCAAACGGAUUUUGGAGUUGUAGGCGUCUUUUCUGCCUGCUCAUCUAAUCGAACUCCUCACGUCCGAGUUAGCGGGGAUUGCCGUUGAGCUUAAUCAUAUCAAUAAGUUGUAUCAACUCCUUGGAUUUUUGGCGCUGUACACCUGCUUCUAAUCGUCUCAUUGACUCCGAUGGGUGUUCCGGUCUCCGCCGAUUUUUCUGUGAUCGGCUAGGACUCCCCACACAACUCUUGACCUCAAAUCGGGGUGAGACUACCCGCUGAACUUAAUCAUAUCAAUAAGCGGA